Molecule: long non-coding RNA, 2112 nt
Filed under: Mus musculus (house mouse)
Lineage: Eukaryota; Metazoa; Chordata; Mammalia; Rodentia; Muridae
Description: long non-coding RNA chr18:20340853-20342965
Source: RNAcentral
AUAGGCAGCAGUGGCCUUGUUAGCACCACCAUGGGUGCUUCUGGCACUGGGCUGAACAUGGGAGGAACAGCCACUAUUGGCCACAUGAGGAGCUCCUCUGACCAUCACUUUAGUCAGACAGUUGGAUCUGCCUCCCCCAGCAUGGCUCGAAGUCGAAUCACAAAGUACAAUACGGUACAGUAUAGCAAGUAGUCAUGAUUACAGAGUAUUGUUCACCACCAUCUCAGUGACUUACAUCCAACUCCUGCCUCCAAAUCUAACAGUGCAAUUUAUGAUACAGAGCAGGCUAUGGGAGACCUGUGGAGUAAGAAAGAGCCACAGUGAUAGUAACCCAUGGAAACAUCACCAUGGGGAAGAGUGCUCCCUAGCAUUGGUAAACUUUUUUCUUAUAUUGACACUGAUAAAAUAAUGAAGGUGAACUUGAGGUACAAUCUUAUCUGUGGCUAUGUGGUCCACAGGGUUGUUUUUGGUUUUAGGUUUUUAAUGUUGCCCUGUAGGGUAUCAGCAGCAUGUUGAAUAUAUAAAACGUGGCUACAUAAAAGCACUGGCUUUAAAUGGCAAUGAGAAGAAUUCUUAUUGCUGUUCAGAAAUUAACAAAAAGGGUUUGAAUAUGUAGCUUGAGCUCACAUAGGUGAGGAAAAUCUGACAUUUCCUUCCCAUAUGCCCUGUCUGUUUCACAGGGAAUACAAAUUAAAAAUCAUUCCACAGAUUCAGGCUAAGGUUAAUAAAAUUCUAACUACAAAGUUAUGUAUGUAAGAUACCAGUUAUUAUUACUGUGACAACAUCCAAUCUACAUUGGAUGGAAUAAUUUUCAAAUUAAGAAAUAUGUCCUGUUAGAAAAGUCCAUAGACAGUAACAAUAUUGCGAGACUCAUUUGGCACAAACUGACACUGAAUCUCAAGAUGUGGUUUAGUUAAGUCCCCUGUGGAGUUGGGAACUUUCCUGGCUCCCACUGUGUUUCAUGGGUGUGACUCUGAAGAAUAUUGCUUACUGGGUGGAUGAAGGGCACCAUGCUCAUUUUUGCCUUUACCACUGUAGUUGAAGGGAGAGUUGCAAAUGACACAUGACAUGGCUGCCCUCCCAAGUGUUAAAUCUCCUCCCAAGUACAGACAGGACAGUAUUAUCUCUUCAGUCUAAGCAGUAAGUCAUACUCGUUUCUGUGCAGCUCUUUAGGGCAUAAAUGCAUAGUUAAGAUAAUGUACCUAAGCUGAGCUGUUGGGAAGAAGCUCACAGUAUGGCUAAGCAUUGGGGUAAUUUUUCAUGGGUAUCUGAAGAAGGGGAACUGUUUUUAGAACAUGAAAGCUGUCUUAAGUGGGAAAUGUUAGAAAAUAAUUGUUCUGUAAAGCAUACGAUAUCACCAUAUGAUGAGAUAUAGUUGAGAUUAGUGUCAUCAUUUGAAUGACCCUCUGCUGCCAUUUGGAAGUGAUUAAACAGGACCUUUUACUAGAAUUGAUAUUACUUUAGAAAGAAUGAUGUAGUUACUAGACAAGGCCAUUCCUUAUCUAAAAUGUGUUAUGCACACAUCUUUGAGGUUUCUCUUUGAUUUGUUAAUAAUGUCUUGGCUUCUAAGCAUUCUACCUUAAAGACAGUUUACAAGUUAUAGUAUGGUAUAUUUUUCUAGCUUUGAAAUGUGCUAUUUAUGAUGUGUUGUUUCUGUAUUUUUGUCAACUGGUGUUCCCUGGUUUAAAGCCCCUCAGAAGAAUCAAAGCUUUUGAGGACACAGGUGCACUUACUAUUGCAGGGUAAAGGAAUCUUUUCUUGCUUUUAAAUCAAUGUUAAAAUAAGCUCACUAAUAUAAAAUGAUAUAUACAUGUUUAUUUGGCCAUAUAUAUAUGAACAUGGAAAAUACUGGACCUGAGUUGUGAACUAUAUAUAGUUUUUAAAGAUGUGUUCAUCCCCUGACUUUUCUUUUCUCAUGGUAUCACAGAAUCACAGAAUUUAUCAAAGAGUGAUUGAUUACUCCCGCAAGAGCUACUUUGUUCUAUAUAAUAUUGGAUAUGGCAAAUGUUUUAAAGGCCACACUAUGUCUAAUUUUAACAGUAUAGAAAAUGUACAGUUUUGCUAACAUGAAGCAAGCAAAAAUGCAGAGGCAUAAAUAAAGUCACUCACAGG